Molecule: ribosomal RNA, 517 nt
Filed under: Parnassius clodius (Clodius parnassian)
Lineage: Eukaryota; Metazoa; Arthropoda; Insecta; Lepidoptera; Papilionidae
Description: partial 16S ribosomal RNA
Rfam family: Bacterial large subunit ribosomal RNA (bases 390-517)
Source: RNAcentral
GUCUUUUUGAAUUAAUAAUUUAAAGUCUAAUCUGCCCACUGAUAAAAAAUUAAAGGGCUGCAGUAUUUUGACUGUACAAAGGUAGCAUAAUCAUUAGUCUCUUAAUUGGUGACUUGUAUGAAAGAUUUGAUGAAAUAUAUACUGUCUCUUUUUAAUUUAUAGAAUUUAAUUUUUUAGUUAAAAAGCUAAAAUAUAUUUAAAAGACGAGAAGACCCUAUAGAGUUUAAUAUUUAAUUUAUAUUAAAAUUUUUUAUAAAAUUUAUAAUUUUAAUAUAUGUAAAUAUUUUGUUGGGGUGAUAAAAAAAUUAAAAUAACUUUUUUUAUAAUUUUACAUUAAUAAAUGAAUAAAUGAUCCGUAAUUUACGAUUAAAAGAAAAAAUUACCUUAGGGAUAACAGCGUAAUUUUUUUUUUUAGUUCAAAUAAGAAAAAAAGUUUGCGACCUCGAUGUUGGAUUAAGAUAAAAUUUAAAUGCAAAAGUUUAAAAUUUUUGAUCUGUUCGAUCAUUAAAAUCUUACA